UACGGAGGGUGCAAGCGUUAUCCGGAUUUACUGGGUGUAAAGGGAGCGUAGGUGGCAUGAUAAGUCAGAUGUGAAAGCCCAGGGCUCAACCCUGGGACUGCAUUUGAAACUAUCAAGCUAGAGUGCAGGAGAGGUAAGUGGAAUUCCUAGUGUAGCGGUGAAAUGCGUAGAUAUUAGGAGGAACACCAGUGGCGAAGGCGGCUUACUGGACUGUAACUGACACUGAGGCUCGAAAGCGUGGGGAGCAAACAGG
RNAcentral lists this ribosomal RNA (253 nucleotides) under uncultured bacterium. RNAcentral's name for it is "partial 16S ribosomal RNA". It matches the Rfam family "Bacterial small subunit ribosomal RNA", at positions 524 to 776 of the family's 1533-position model. The record is from RNAcentral.